AACGAACGCUGGCGGCAGGCCUAACACAUGCAAGUCGAGCGAGGUAGCAAUACCUAGCGGCGGACGGGUGAGUAACGCGUGGGAACGUGCCCUUUGCUUCGGAAUAGCCCCGGGAAACUGGGAGUAAUACCGAAUGUGCCCUUCGGGGGAAAGGUUUAUCGGCAAAGGAUCGGCCCGCGUUGGAUUAGGUAGUUGGUGGGGUAAUGGCCUACCAAGCCGACGAUCCAUAGCUGGUUUGAGAGGAUGAUCAGCCACACUGGGACUGAGACACGGCCCAGACUCCUACGGGGGGCAGCAGUGGGGAAUCUUAGACAAUGGGCGCAAGCCUGAUCUAGCCAUGCCGCGUGACCGAUGAAGGCCUUAGGGUUGUAAAGAUCUUUCAGGUGGGAAGAUAAUGACUGUACCACCAGAAGAAGCCCCGGCUAACUCCGUGCCAGCCGCCGCCGUAA
RNAcentral lists this ribosomal RNA (449 nucleotides) under uncultured bacterium. Its description in RNAcentral is "partial 16S ribosomal RNA". It matches the Rfam family "Bacterial small subunit ribosomal RNA", at positions 29 to 523 of the family's 1533-position model. The record is from RNAcentral.